RNAcentral lists this ribosomal RNA (513 nucleotides) under uncultured bacterium. RNAcentral describes it as "partial 16S ribosomal RNA". It matches the Rfam family "Bacterial small subunit ribosomal RNA", at positions 30 to 523 of the family's 1533-position model. The record is from RNAcentral.
AUUGAACGCUGGCGGCAUGCCUAACACAUGCAAGUCGAACGGCUGAACAGUAAUGACUUCGUGCUUUAUCGGUGGCGAGUGGAGGACGGGUUAGUAAUGCGUAGGAAUGUGUCCUGGAGGGUGUGAUAACGCGAGGAAACACGGCCUACUACCGCAGGAUAUAGAGAGAGCAAAUUCAGACGACCCUUCGGGACCUGACCCUCGAGGAUGUUCCCACGUCGGUUUAGCUAGUGCGUGUGGUAAAGGCCUACCAAGGCGACGAUCCGUAGCUGGUCUGAGAGGAUGACCAGUCACACUGGGACUGAGACACGGUCCAGAGUCCUACGGGAGGCAGCAGUGGGGAAUAUUGGACAAUGGGGGGAAGCCUGAUCCAGCGAUGCCGCGUGUGUGAAGAAGGUCUUCGGGUUGUAAAGCACUUUAAAUGGGGAAGAAAAGUAGUAGGUAAAUAACUUGUUGCUCUGACGGUACCGACAGAAUAAGCACCGGCUAACUUUGUGCCAGCAGCCGCAGUAA